This 253-nucleotide ribosomal RNA is filed under the name uncultured bacterium. RNAcentral's name for it is "partial 16S ribosomal RNA". It matches the Rfam family "Bacterial small subunit ribosomal RNA", at positions 524 to 776 of the family's 1533-position model. The record is from RNAcentral.
GACGUAGGGCGCGAGCGUUGUCCGGAUUUAUUGGGCGUAAAGAGCUCGUAGGCGGCUUGUCGCGUCGGCUGUGAAAACUCGGGGCUCAACCCCGAGCCUGCAGUCGAUACGGGCAAACUAGAGUGUGGUAGGGGAGACUGGAAUUCCAGGUGUAGCGGUGAAAUGCGUAGAUAUCUGGAGGAAUACCGGUGGCGAAGGCGGCAUCCUGGACCGACAUUGACGCUGAACGGCGAAAGCUAGGGGAGCAAACGGG